GCAUCAAGAGGAAUGUAACUGUUAGCAGAUAAAAAGCUAACAGGGGAGGCAUGACAUAAGGCAACAAUUUCAAAAUUGUCUGACACAAAUCCCAGAAGAGCUCAUUCGUGCCCUGACCAAAAGCCGUGUCAGAUGAAAUGGUUAGAAAAGGUCUGCCUUCAGUGGGCCCUGAAUCCAGGUUUGGAAGAGAACAGCCUUGCGUGAAGGACCUGGGCAUCUGCAAUACCUUGACAACAUGAGACACC
This is a long non-coding RNA of Pipra filicauda (Wire-tailed manakin), 245 nucleotides long. RefSeq lists it as uncharacterized. NCBI's taxonomy places the organism in Eukaryota, Metazoa, Chordata, Aves, Passeriformes, Pipridae. The record is from RefSeq and is a predicted model, not a curated record. The transcript is spliced from 3 exons.